GCCGAGCGUGGUGGUGGGUGCCUGUAGUCCCAGCUACUCAGGAGGCUGAGGUGGGAGGAUCACUUGAGCCCAGGAGUUCUGGGCUGCAGUGCGCUAUGCCGAUCAGGUGUCCACACUAAGUUCGGCAUCAAUAUGGUGACCUCCUGGGAGCAGGGGACUACCAGGUUGCCUAAGGAGGGGUGAACUGGCCCAGGUCGGAAAUGGAGCAGGUCAAAACUCCCGUGCUCAUUAGUAGUGGGAUUGCGCCUGUGAAUAGCCACUGCACUCCAGCCUGGGCAACAUAGGGAGAUCCCGUCUCUA
Unclassified non-coding RNA from Callithrix jacchus (white-tufted-ear marmoset), 300 nucleotides. It matches the Rfam family "Metazoan signal recognition particle RNA". Rfam says of the family: The signal recognition particle (SRP) is a universally conserved ribonucleoprotein. Lineage: Eukaryota; Metazoa; Chordata; Mammalia; Primates; Cebidae. The record is from Ensembl.